CGAGGUAAUAACUGCGCGGUUCUUGAGGUAAAUAAAUUUAGUUUCGCUAUUAGUAGAGACACUGCUGAGACUCACAGACUCAGGUAAGCUAAUUCACAAAUAUAUUGACUUAUUGGGUGUGUCUCAAUCAGCUCCCGAGCUCGUGAAUCAGUAACGUUAUAUCGUGUAUUCGGGCUCGAAUUCGGGCACUGGUAAGGACAGUAAAGGGCGCUGGGGUUCACUACACAUUGGGACAUUUAUGACAACGUCCUUAUUGUACUAUGAACAGCAGCAGAGCUAAUCAUGGCCGCGGGAAGUGGGGGUGCUGCAGCACCCCCUAGUGACGAGAGGGAGAUUUAAAAAAAAAAAAAUGUAGGCCUAUUAAAAUAUUUUGCACAAUUUAUAAAUUCCUUAUGAAUAUUUUAGAAAAUGAUUUUGACACACGUAGGCUAUUACGUAUAUUUUGGAUUUUAAUUUCAUAUUUUGAGGCCUAAUCAACACAGGUUCGGAAGUUACGUUGUCAACGUCACGCAGGCAGGUUUGGUCGCCGAGUAAAGAGGUUUCCCGCUCGUUCCAUGCAGAAUAUAUACAUCUUUGGCAGCAGCUGACUAGUAAAUUUACAUAGUUUAAUGACAGAAACGAGGAGAAAAUAUGUCACAGAAACGGAUUUUGGAUUUUUUUGGAAAACCACCAGCGAAGAAAUCUAAUACCGCAACCAUGACAACGGAGUCUGUCCGCCUGCCUCGGCCUGCAGUUGAACCGGCAGGCCCAGCCCCAGCACCCGCAACCCAACCUAGCGUGAUUGGAUUAGACGAGCCCUUCCAGCCAACAUCCAGUUUCAAAUUUCCCGCAUGGCGUUGUGACCCUGGCUGGCUGUGCACUGAAGUGUAUAUGACAAUAAAGUAGUAAAUCUCAAUGUAUUUAUUUUUAAAAUGUAUUUUAAAUAGG
Long non-coding RNA from Megalobrama amblycephala (Wuchang bream), 927 nucleotides. RefSeq lists it as uncharacterized. The transcript has 2 exons. NCBI's taxonomy places the organism in Eukaryota, Metazoa, Chordata, Actinopteri, Cypriniformes, Xenocyprididae. The record is from RefSeq and is a predicted model, not a curated record.